Molecule: ribosomal RNA, 495 nt
Filed under: uncultured bacterium
Lineage: Bacteria
Description: partial 16S ribosomal RNA
Rfam family: Bacterial small subunit ribosomal RNA
Source: RNAcentral
GACGAACGCUGGCGGCGUGCCUAAUACAUGCAAGUAGAACGCUGAAGGAGGAGCUUGCUUCUCUGGAUGAGUUGCGAACGGGUGAGUAACGCGUAGGUAACCUGCCUGGUAGCGGGGGAUAACUAUUGGAAACGAUAGCUAAUACCGCAUAAUAGCAGUUGUUGCAUGACAACUGUUUGAAAGGUGCAAUUGCACCACUACCAGAUGGACCUGCGUUGUAUUAGCUAGUUGGUGGGGUAACGGCUCACCAAGGCGACGAUACAUAGCCGACCUGAGAGGGGGAUCAGCCACACUGGGACUGAGACACGGCCCAGGCUCCUACGGGAGGCAGCAGUAGGGAAUCUUCGGCAAUGGGCGGAAGUCUGACCGAGCAACGCCGCGUGAGUGAAGAAGGUUUUCGGAUCGGAAAGCUCUGUUGUAAGGGAAGAAAGAGUGUGAGAGUGGAAAGUUCACACUGUGACGGUAUCUUACCAGAAAGGGACGGCUAACUACGUG